Molecule: ribosomal RNA, 502 nt
Filed under: uncultured bacterium
Lineage: Bacteria
Description: partial 16S ribosomal RNA
Rfam family: Bacterial small subunit ribosomal RNA
Source: RNAcentral
GACGAACGCUGGCGGCGUGCCUAAUACAUGCAAGUCGAACGAACCGCGACUAAGUGCUUGCACUAAGUCAAGGUGAGUGGCGAACGGGUGAGUAACACGUGGGUAACCUACCUCAUAGUGGGGGAUAACAGUCGGAAACGACUGCUAAUACCGCAUAGGACAUAGGAUCACAUGAUCCAGUGAGGAAAGGUGGCGCAAGCUAUCGCUAAGGGAUGGACCCGCGGUGCAUUAGCUAGUUGGUAGGGUAAAGGCCUACCAAGGCGAUGAUGCAUAGCCGACCUGAGAGGGUGAUCGGCCACAUUGGGACUGAGACACGGCCCAAACUCCUACGGGAGGCAGCAGUAGGGAAUCUUCCGCAAUGGACGCAAGUCUGACGGAGCAACGCCGCGUGAGUGAAGAAGGUCUUCGGAUCGUAAAGCUCUGUUGUUAGAGAAGAACAGCGCAUAGAGUAACUGCUAUGCGUGUGACGGUAUCUAACCAGAAAGCCACGGCUAACUACGUG